UACGUAGGGGGCAAGCGUUGUCCGGAAUUAUUGGGCGUAAAGAGCUCGUAGGCGGUUUGUCGCGUCGGCCGUGAAAACUUGGGGCUUAACUCCAAGCUUGCGGUCGAUACGGGCAGACUUGAGUUCGGCAGGGGAGACUGGAAUUCCUGGUGUAGCGGUGAAAUGCGCAGAUAUCAGGAGGAACACCGGUGGCGAAGGCGGGUCUCUGGGCCGAUACUGACGCUGAGGAGCGAAAGCGUGGGGAGCGAACAGG
RNAcentral lists this ribosomal RNA (253 nucleotides) under uncultured bacterium. RNAcentral's name for it is "partial 16S ribosomal RNA". It matches the Rfam family "Bacterial small subunit ribosomal RNA", at positions 524 to 776 of the family's 1533-position model. The record is from RNAcentral.